RNAcentral lists this ribozyme (71 nucleotides) under unclassified sequences. RNAcentral's name for it is "pistol ribozyme". It matches the Rfam family "Pistol ribozyme". The record is from RNAcentral.
ACUCGACUGAGCGAGUAUAAAUAGUCCUUAGGCUCAGUGCGGCGCGCGGUCAUCAUGACGCGCGCGUGGAG